This 153-nucleotide small nuclear RNA is filed under the name Pogona vitticeps (central bearded dragon). Its description in RNAcentral is "U1 spliceosomal RNA (ENSPVIG00000022144.1)". It matches the Rfam family "U1 spliceosomal RNA". Rfam says of the family: U1 is a small nuclear RNA (snRNA) component of the spliceosome (involved in pre-mRNA splicing). Its 5' end forms complementary base pairs with the 5' splice junction, thus defining the 5' donor site of an intron. There are significant differences in sequence and secondary structure between metazoan and yeast U1 snRNAs, the latter being much longer (568 nucleotides as compared to 164 nucleotides in human). The record is from Rfam by way of RNAcentral. Lineage: Eukaryota; Metazoa; Chordata; Lepidosauria; Squamata; Agamidae.
ACUCAGACCUGGCAGGGGAGAUACCAUUGUUGUAAAAGUGGUUUCUCUAGGGUAAGGCUCAUCUAUUGCACUUCGGAUGAGCUGACCCCUGUGAUUUCCCCAAAUGUGGGAAAAUCAACUGCCUAAGUGGGAGAUUGUGUUUGUAGUUUCCCU